RNAcentral lists this ribosomal RNA (425 nucleotides) under uncultured bacterium. RNAcentral describes it as "partial 16S ribosomal RNA". It matches the Rfam family "Bacterial small subunit ribosomal RNA", at positions 354 to 796 of the family's 1533-position model. The record is from RNAcentral.
GUGGGGAAUCUUGCGCAAUGGGCGAAAGCCUGACGCAGCCAUGCCGCGUGAAUGAUGAAGGUCUUAGGAUUGUAAAAUUCUUUCACCGGGGACGAUAAUGACGGUACCCGGAGAAGAAGCUCCGGCUAACUUCGUGCCAGCAGCCGCGGUAAUACGAAGGGGGCUAGCGUUGCUCGGAAUUACUGGGCGUAAAGGGCGCGUAGGCGGACAGCUUAGUCAGAGGUGAAAGCCCAGGGCUCAACCUUGGAAUUGCCUUUGAUACUGGCUGUCUUGAGUUUUGGAGAGGUGAGUGGAACUCCGAGUGUAGAGGUGAAAUUCGUAGAUAUUCGGAAGAACACCAGUGGCGAAGGCGACUCACUGGCCCAAUACUGACGCUGAGGCGCGAAAGCGUGGGGAGCAAACAGGAUUAGAUACCCUAGUAGUCC